Molecule: unclassified non-coding RNA, 291 nt
Filed under: uncultured fungus
Lineage: Eukaryota; Fungi
Description: partial contains small subunit ribosomal RNA, internal transcribed spacer 1, and 5.8S ribosomal RNA
Rfam family: Eukaryotic small subunit ribosomal RNA (bases 1-73)
Source: RNAcentral
GCAAACUUGGUCAUUUAGAGGAAGUAAAAGUCGUAACAAGGUCUCCGUUGGUGAACCAGCGGAGGGAUCAUUACCGAGUUUUACAACUCCCAAACCCAAUGUGAACCUACCUAUCGUUGCUUCGGCGGGAAUCGCCCCGGCGCCCACUGGGGCCCGGAGUCAGGCGCCCGCCGGAGGCCCCCAAACUCUUGUUUCUGAUCGCUGUGGCAUAUUCUGAGUGGCGUAAAGCAAAAAUGAAUCAAAACUUUCAACAACGGAUCUCUUGGCUCUGGCAUCGAUGAAGAACGCAGC